This 229-nucleotide ribosomal RNA is filed under the name uncultured bacterium. RNAcentral describes it as "partial 16S ribosomal RNA". It matches the Rfam family "Bacterial small subunit ribosomal RNA", at positions 15 to 239 of the family's 1533-position model. The record is from RNAcentral.
GAUCAUAGCUCAGGACGAACGCUGGCGGCGCGCCUAACACAUGCAAGUCGAACGAGAGAUGAGGAGCUUGCUCUUCAAAUCGAGUGGCGAACGGGUGAGUAACGCGUGAGGAACCUGCCUCAAAGAGGGGGACAACAGUUGGAAACGACUGCUAAUACCGCAUAAGCCCACAGCUCGGCAUCGAGCAGAGGGAAAAGGAGCAAUCCGCUUUGAGAUGGCCUCGCGUCCG